CGGAGCGUGGCCUAGUGGUUUAGGGCGCAGCCUUUGGGAGGCUGAGGUCGUGGGUUCAAAUCCCACCGCUCCGA
This 74-nucleotide transfer RNA is filed under the name Candidatus Berkelbacteria bacterium. Its description in RNAcentral is "tRNA-Pro". It matches the Rfam family "tRNA". From Rfam's summary of the family: Transfer RNA (tRNA) molecules are approximately 80 nucleotides in length. Lineage: Bacteria; Candidatus Berkelbacteria. The record is from RNAcentral.